CCUACGGGUGGCAGCAGUCGAGAAUCAUUCACAAUGGGGGAAACCCUGAUGGUGCGACGCCGCGUGGGGGAAUGAAGGUCUUCGGAUUGUAAACCCCUGUCAUGUGGGAGCAAAUUAAAAAGAUAGUACCACAAGAGGAAGAGACGGCUAACUCUGUGCCAGCAGCCGCGGUAAUACAGAGGUCUCAAGCGUUGUUCGGAAUCACUGGGCGUAAAGGGUGCGUAGGCUGUUUCGUAAGUCGUGUGUGAAAGGCGCGGGCUCAACCCGCGGACGGCACAUGAUACUGGGAGACUAGAGUAAUGGAGGGGGAAGCGGAAUGCGCGGUGUAGCAGUGAAAUGCGUAGAUAUCGAGAGGAACACUCGUGGCGAAGGCGGGUUCCUGGACAUUAACUGACGCUGAGGCACGAAGGCCAGGGGAGCGAAAAGGAUUAGAUACCCGGGUAGUC
This 446-nucleotide ribosomal RNA is filed under the name uncultured bacterium. Its description in RNAcentral is "partial 16S ribosomal RNA". It matches the Rfam family "Bacterial small subunit ribosomal RNA", at positions 338 to 795 of the family's 1533-position model. The record is from RNAcentral.